Molecule: ribosomal RNA, 584 nt
Filed under: uncultured bacterium
Lineage: Bacteria
Description: bacterial SSU rRNA
Rfam family: Bacterial small subunit ribosomal RNA
Source: RNAcentral
CCUACGGGAGGCAGCAGUGGGGAAUAUUGGACAAUGGGCGCAAGCCUGAUCCAGCAAUGCCGCGUGAGUGAUGAAGGCCUUAGGGUUGUAAAGCUCUUUCGCACGCGACGAUGAUGACGGUAGCGUGAGAAGAAGCCCCGGCUAACUUCGUGCCAGCAGCCGCGGUAAUACGAAGGGGGCUAGCGUUGUUCGGAAUUACUGGGCGUAAAGGGCGCGUAGGCGGCCUGUUUAGUCAGAAGUGAAAGCCCCGGGCUCAACCUGGGAAUAGCUUUUGAUACUGGCAGGCUUGAGUUCCGGAGAGGAUGGUGGAAUUCCCAGUGUAGAGGUGAAAUUCGUAGAUAUUGGGAAGAACACCGGUGGCGAAGGCGGCCAUCUGGACGGACACUGACGCUGAGGCGCGAAAGCGUGGGGAGCAAACAGGAUUAGAUACCCCGGUAGUCCACGCCGUAAACGAUGAAUGCUAGACGUCGGGGUNCAUGCACUUCGGUGUCGCCGCUAACGCAUUAAGCAUUCCGCCUGGGAUACGGCCGCAAGGUUAAACNCAAAGNUAUGCGNGNGAGAGCGACGACGACGACGAGAGAGAG